Molecule: ribosomal RNA, 498 nt
Filed under: uncultured bacterium
Lineage: Bacteria
Description: bacterial SSU rRNA
Rfam family: Bacterial small subunit ribosomal RNA
Source: RNAcentral
GAUGAACGCUAGCGGCAGGCUUAAUACAUGCAAGUUGAGGGGCAGCAUGAUAUACGCGAGUAUAUUGAUGGCGACCGGCGGACGGGUGAGUAAUAGGUAGGAGACCUACCUCAUACAGGGGGAUAGCAUAGAGAAAUCUGUGGUAAUACCCCAUGAGGUUAUAUGAAUAGAGGCAUAUAAUCAAAGCAUAAGCGAUUAUGCGGUAUGAGAGGGGCCUACUGACCAUUAGCUAGUUGGUGAGGUAAGGGCUCACCAAGGCGAAGAUGGUUAGGGGUUUUGAGAGAGAGACCCCCCACAUUGGAACUGAGAGACGGUCCAGACUCCUACGGGAGGCAGCAGUAGGGAAUAUUGGGCAAUGGGCGAAAGCCUGACCCAGCCAUGCCGCGUGAAGGAAGACGGCCUUAUGGGUUGUAAACUUCUUUACUACGCGAAUAGAGGUUAGUACGAGAUACUAAUAGGAAGGUAGUGUAGUAAAAAGCAACCGGCUAACUCCGUGCC